CACGUAGGGGGCGAGCGUUGUCCGGAUUUAUUGGGCGUAAAGAGCUCGUAGGCGGCUCGGUAAGUCGGCGGUGAAAUUCCAGGGCUCAACCCUGGAACGCCCGCUGAUACUGCCGUGGCUAGAGUCCGGUAGGGGAGCGCGGAAUUCCUGGUGUAGCGGUGAAAUGCGCAGAUAUCAGGAGGAACACCAGCGGCGAAGGCGGCGCUCUGGGCCGGAACUGACGCUGAGGAGCGAAAGCGUGGGUAGCAAACAGG
Molecule: ribosomal RNA, 254 nt
Filed under: uncultured bacterium
Lineage: Bacteria
Description: partial 16S ribosomal RNA
Rfam family: Bacterial small subunit ribosomal RNA
Source: RNAcentral